GACGAACGCUGGCGGCGUGCUUAACACAUGCAAGUCGAACGGAAAGGCCCUGCUUUUGUGGGGUGCUCGAGUUGCGAACGGGUGAGUAACACGUGAGUAACCUGCCCUUGACUGUGGGAUAACUUAAGGAAACUGGGGCUAAUACCGGAUAGGAGCUCUUGCUGCAUGGUGGGGGUUGGAAAGAUUCGGCGGUUGGGGAUGUACUCGCGGCUUAUCAGCAUGUUGGAGGGGUAGUGGCUUACGAUGGCUUGGACGGGUAGCCGGCCUGAGCGGGUGACCGGCAACAUCGGGACUGAGAUACGGCCCAGACUCCGACGGGAGGCAGCAGUGGGGAAUAGGGCAAUAGGGGCGGAAGCGUGAUGCAGCAACGCCGCGGGCGGGAUGAUGGUCAUCGGGUUGUAAACCGAUUUCGCCUGUGACGAAGCGGGAGUGACGGUAACGGGUAAAGAAGCACCGGCUAACUACGUG
This 468-nucleotide ribosomal RNA is filed under the name uncultured bacterium. RNAcentral describes it as "partial 16S ribosomal RNA". It matches the Rfam family "Bacterial small subunit ribosomal RNA", at positions 28 to 507 of the family's 1533-position model. The record is from RNAcentral.